This 90-nucleotide microRNA precursor is filed under the name Genlisea aurea. RNAcentral's name for it is "mir-160 microRNA precursor family". It matches the Rfam family "mir-160 microRNA precursor family". From Rfam's summary of the family: The hairpin precursors (represented here) are predicted based on base pairing and cross-species conservation -- their extents are not known. In this case the mature sequence is excised from the 5' arm of the hairpin. The record is from Rfam by way of RNAcentral. Lineage: Eukaryota; Viridiplantae; Streptophyta; Magnoliopsida; Lamiales; Lentibulariaceae.
AUAUGCCUGGCUCCCUGUAUGCCAUACGAGUAAAGCGUCGAGAGAUGUCGAUGGAAUUCCCGCGGAUGGCGUAUGGGGAGCCAAGCAUGU